This 253-nucleotide ribosomal RNA is filed under the name uncultured bacterium. RNAcentral describes it as "partial 16S ribosomal RNA". It matches the Rfam family "Bacterial small subunit ribosomal RNA", at positions 524 to 776 of the family's 1533-position model. The record is from RNAcentral.
GACGAACCGUGCGAACGUUGUUCGGAAUCACUGGGCUUAAAGGGCGCGUAGGCGGAUGUCCGAGUCCGGGGUGAAAGCCCCCAGCCCAACUGGGGAAGUGCCUCGGAUACCGGACAUCUCGAGGGGGGUAGGGGCAGGCGGAACUUCCGGUGGAGCGGUGAAAUGCGUUGAUAUCGGAAGGAACGCCGGUGGCGAAAGCGGCCUGCUGGACCCCUUCUGACGCUGAGGCGCGAAAGCCAGGGGAGCGAACGGG